GGGAUUGUGGUUCAGUGGUAGAGCACUCACCUAGCAUGUGUGAGGACCUGGGUUUGAUCCUCAGCACCA
This 69-nucleotide transfer RNA is filed under the name Ictidomys tridecemlineatus (thirteen-lined ground squirrel). RNAcentral describes it as "Spermophilus tridecemlineatus (thirteen-lined ground squirrel) tRNA". It matches the Rfam family "tRNA". Rfam says of the family: Transfer RNA (tRNA) molecules are approximately 80 nucleotides in length. Their secondary structure includes four short double-helical elements and three loops (D, anti-codon, and T loops). Lineage: Eukaryota; Metazoa; Chordata; Mammalia; Rodentia; Sciuridae. RNAcentral also lists the same sequence under 1 other name. The record is from Rfam by way of RNAcentral.